UGGAUCAAUGAUGACCAUUGGUGGCAUAUGAGUCAUGUACAAUGAAUACUUUCUGGAACUCUGAGGUCCGA
Small nucleolar RNA from Lagenorhynchus albirostris (white-beaked dolphin), 71 nucleotides. RefSeq annotates it as small nucleolar RNA SNORD113/SNORD114 family. The transcript has a single exon. Lineage: Eukaryota; Metazoa; Chordata; Mammalia; Artiodactyla; Delphinidae. The record is from RefSeq and is a predicted model, not a curated record.